Molecule: small RNA, 21 nt
Filed under: Arabidopsis thaliana (thale cress)
Lineage: Eukaryota; Viridiplantae; Streptophyta; Magnoliopsida; Brassicales; Brassicaceae
Description: Ath_wt_13720
Source: RNAcentral
GCAGCCAAGCGUUCAUAGCGA